AGCGAACGCCGGCGGCAGGCUUAAUACAUGCAAGUCGAGGGGCAGCACGGUUAGCAAUAACUGGUGGCGACCGGCGCACGGGUGCGUAACACGUAUACAAUCUACCUUAAACAGGGGGAUAGCCUUUCGAAAGAGAGAUUAAUACCCCGUAAUAAAUUGAACGGCAUCGUUUGAUUUUGAAAGCUCCGGCGGUUUGAGAUGAGUAUGCGUCUGAUUAGCUAGUUGGUGAGGUAACGGCUCACCAAGGCGACGAUCAGUAGGGGAUCUGAGAGGAUAACCCCCCAACUGGUACUGAGACACGGACCAGACUCCUACGGAGCAGCAGUAAGGAAUAUGGUCAAUGGAGGCAACUCUGAACCAGCCAU
Molecule: ribosomal RNA, 365 nt
Filed under: uncultured bacterium
Lineage: Bacteria
Description: bacterial SSU rRNA
Rfam family: Bacterial small subunit ribosomal RNA
Source: RNAcentral